AGAGAAAGCGACAAUGGGAACAGAAUGACUUGCAUAAUGAGAGGCCCAAAAUACUUUUAACAGCAACCUUCUUUAUCUUAAACAUGAAGAAAAUCUAUUAUAGGUGAGAUAUUUGAAACGAUGACUAAAACAAACGGCAAAAAAACUUGAACUAGAUGUACAGGGAUAUCGAACCAAGAUCGAAACUUGAAUGAUGGCGACAAACUCGACUUGAUCGGACAGAAUACUGCUGCAAACAAACUUGACAAGGCCUGUUUUAUGACAAGUUUUGAAGGACGCAUGUUGAUGGUCCCUACUUUUCGUUUUUGAGAUGAGGGAGCUUGGUGGCUAUGGAGGAAUUCUGGCGAGCUGGAUUGAGUCGUGAGGUCUGGUGGCUUGGGAUACUGCUGCUCUAGCUGUUGAUGGAGAGAGGCCACUGGUUGGGUUCUUGAAAUGUGUGGGACGGCGGUGAGGUGAGGGGUGUUCUGUAUGGCUGGGCGAUGGAGGUGGGUGGGGUGCUGGAGAUUGUGAGCAGCUGGCGGAGAUGGGGUGGGGCUGCUUAGGGUAUGUGUGUUGGGAGCUGGUGUGAGGUCGGCAGUAGGAAGGUGUUCCUAAGGUUUUUUGGUCUAAGUUUUUGAGAGGAAGAUGAAGUUUAGGUGUGUGUCCUCUCUAGGGUGGUAUAGUUUAUUGGUGUCCCAAGUCACCGGUUUAAAAUCCCGAAUCGAGGAAGUUUGACUCUAUUUACGGUCUGCGAACAUAUAAAUCCGGGUAAGGAAUUCUGUUAACCCAGGAGAAGGUGUUAGGCAUUCCCGAGUUCCGUGAUUUUAGCACAGUCACUUUGAUAAUACUUGACUUAAUCAAAUUGUCUAAUUACUUAUUUUAGAACCUAUGUUAAUCCACCCCUUAACCACUUUUAAUUACUUGAUUUAAUCGUAAUUAAGGAAUUAUCUUGAAACGAGUCAUGCAUAUGUGUACUUAUUUCGUUUGGCGCGUCAAAAAUCAUGUCACGCGUAUGUAUCCACAAUUAAUGACGCUUUAUUAUUAUUAAGAAAGUUUAGUUAAAAUUGCGCGAACACAUACUCCGAUUUUGUUUUUAAGAUCGUAAUUAUGUCACACGAACAUGUACACAACCACGAUAGUAUAAUUAGUUAAGAGCAAGCCUAAAACACUCUAACGUAUUCAAACGUGUUACACCCAAUUAGAAUCACAGCCCACUUAAUGGAAUAUUUUUAUCUUCUGCAUCCAUACAAAUUGAAUAAAUUAUACAAGAAAGAACAAAAUUUAACACUUAUUGAGCACAAAUGCUAUUUUAUGAAAUCUGAGAAUUAUGUUCCCCACCUUAUUCAUGAAACAGAGCCAAUUUCAAUCACAAAAACUAAAAGUAAUAGGCAAUCGAGCAACGAUCUCACAUAACAUCGAGAAAAACAAAUCGGGGAAUUGAAAUGCAAACAGAGUUAGAGAGAGACCUCAAUGAGUAGAUUUCUUUAAAUAUUUGAGCAUCCAAAUAGAUAUAAGGCUUUUAAUCCAAGUUAAACUCAGUCGAGAAAAUAGCAUCCACUCAAACCCGGAACCACGAACUCAAACGAACCCCCAUGAUUUAGAAAAGUGAAUUCGACAACUUUGAAAUUGUAGAGAGAGAAAACGACAACGGGAACAGAAUGACUUGCAUAAUGAGAGGCCCAAAAUACUUUUAACAGCAACCUUCUUUAUCUUAAACAUGAAGAAAAUCCAUUAUAGGUGAGAUCUUUGAAACGUCGACUAAAACAAAUGGCCAGAAAACUUGAACUAGAUGUACGGGGAUAUCGAACCAAGACCGAAACUUGAAUGAUGGCGACGAAUUUGACUUGAUCCUGACAGAAUACUACCGCAAACGAACUUGAAAAGUCUUGUUUUAUGACUGGUUUUGAAGGACGCCUGUUGAUGGUCACUACUUUUCGUUUUUGAGAGGAGGGAGCUUGGUGACUAUGGAGGAAUUCCGACGAGCUGGGUUGAGUCGUGAGGUCCGGUGGCUUGGGAUACUGCUGCUCUAGCAGCUGGUGGAGAGAGGCCACUGUUUGGGUUCUUGAAAGGGGUGGGACGGCGGUGAGGUGAGGGGUGUUCUGUGUGGCUGGGCGAUGGAGGUGGGUGGGGUGCUGGCGAUUGUGAGCAGCUGGCGGAGAUGGGGCGGGGCUGCUUAGGGUAAGUGUGUUGGGAGCUGGUGUGAGGUCGGCGACAGGAAGGUGUUUCUAGGGUUUUUUGGUCUAAGUUUUUGAGAGAAAGAUGAAGUUUAGGUGUGUGUCCUCUCUAGGGUUAGCAUGCUGAAGGGGUGUGUAGUCCCAGAUUGUGAGAAAUACGGCUGAUUUCUGGUGGCGUGAUCUUAGGCGUUAGGUCUAGUCUAGGGGUCUAUUAGGUUCCUUAUUGUAGUGUGUAUUAAAGGUGAGGAAGUAGGGUUUUUUAGGGUAUUGGG
Molecule: long non-coding RNA, 2425 nt
Filed under: Nicotiana tabacum (common tobacco)
Lineage: Eukaryota; Viridiplantae; Streptophyta; Magnoliopsida; Solanales; Solanaceae
Description: long non-coding RNA (NTAB_LNC018160)
Source: RNAcentral